This 344-nucleotide ribosomal RNA is filed under the name uncultured bacterium. RNAcentral's name for it is "bacterial SSU rRNA". It matches the Rfam family "Bacterial small subunit ribosomal RNA", at positions 8 to 334 of the family's 1533-position model. The record is from RNAcentral.
AGAGUUCGAUUAUGGCUCAGGACGAACGCUGGCGGCGUGCUUAACACAUGCAAGUCGAACGAAGCUGCAUUGAUGAAGUUUUCGGAUGGAAUUGAUGUAGACUGAGUGGCGGACGGGUGAGUAACGCGUGAGCAACCUGCCUACAAGAGGGGGACAACAGCUGGAAACGGCUGCUAAUACCGCAUAAGACCACAACUUCACAUGGAGAAGGGGUCAAAGAUUUAUCGCUUGUAGAUGGGCUCGCGUCCCAUUAGCUAGUUGGCAGGAUAAAAGCCUACCAAGGCGACGAUGGGUAGCCGACCUGAGAGGGUGAUCGGCCACACUGGAACUGAGACACGGUCCAG